UUUUAUAAACUUUCCAAACAAAUAUUAUAUAACUUGCAUAAUCAAACAAAUAGAAGAACCAAUUAAGUAUUGUAACAGUGUCAUUUGAUAACAAAAAACAGACAUGAUCUUCUAAACUUGUAUAUUAAUUAUUGCCACUGCAUUAUAGUAUUAUAAUAACUGAGAUGUUGUGUUCUCAGUCAUCCCUUAGACUUGUUCAAUCUUAUCAAAUUGGCUGAAAUUACCCUUCUGUUUGAAGAUCUGAGUAUGGUGAUGUCUACAAUAAAGGCGAUGUUCAUGUGCCACAUAGUUUGAUGGACUGAUUAUACAACCUCCAUGUGUGCACCUGAAGCAAUUCUUAUGAUGAAAUGGCUACAGAAAGAAGUUCGAGGAAUACAAGGAGGAAGGGACAAAAAUAAGUGACAUCUUAUUUGUUGAUCUAAGUUGAGUCCCACGUCGGUUAAAGUAUAGAUGUGGGUGUGUUGACGAUGUUAUAAAUAAAGAGGAAUUACCGAGUGAAGCUUAUAUUCACUAAUUUCAAAAAAAAUGAAUGAUAUUUAUAGCAUUAUUUUAUAGCAAUAGUUUGGACAACUUUUUGGCGAGUUUUAGUAUGAUUGCCCCUUUUGUUUUAUUUGAUAUUAGUUGUACACCUUGCAUUUUUAUAUU
This 645-nucleotide long non-coding RNA is filed under the name Medicago truncatula (barrel medic). Its description in RNAcentral is "lncRNA gene26250". The record is from RNAcentral. Lineage: Eukaryota; Viridiplantae; Streptophyta; Magnoliopsida; Fabales; Fabaceae.